This is an unclassified non-coding RNA of Cricetulus griseus (Chinese hamster), 365 nucleotides long. Its record names the gene 7SK. It matches the Rfam family "7SK RNA". Rfam says of the family: 7SK was discovered as an abundant small nuclear RNA in the mid-70s but a possible function has only recently been suggested. Two independent studies have found that 7SK RNA binds the CDK9/cyclin T complex (known as elongation factor P-TEFb). P-TEFb activates transcription by phosphorylating the C-terminal domain of RNA polymerase II. Lineage: Eukaryota; Metazoa; Chordata; Mammalia; Rodentia; Cricetidae. The record is from Ensembl.
GUAUGGGAACUGUCUACCUGGCUGUCCCACCCAUCAUUACAUAGUUGCCAGACUUCACUGGACUCAUGUGUCUGGCUGUGCAGGCAUCUCUUCCUCCUUCACUGAUAUUUGUGGGUUCCUCCUGAAGCUUCACAAAAGGUUUAAAAAGGAUGCCCUUCCCAAACAGAGGAGGACUCACCUUUAGUCAAAGGUAUAUGAGUAACUGAAUUCCCCUGCUAGAACCCCCAAACAAGCUCUCAAAGAUUUAAAACACACAUUGCUUCCUGUGAUAUUCUUUUUUGUCCCACAGCACUACAGUUUAGGGAUUACAUACAAUGAAGGGGUAAGAGGGGAUGAACAGGGCAUAAAGCCACCUCCCUUAGAAU